This 1035-nucleotide long non-coding RNA is filed under the name Equus caballus (horse). RNAcentral's name for it is "lncRNA (ENSECAG00000057376.1)". Lineage: Eukaryota; Metazoa; Chordata; Mammalia; Perissodactyla; Equidae. The record is from RNAcentral.
UAUUAUUUUUUUUUUCCUACAGACCACAGGCAAUUGCUGUUCCUCUCUUUUGAAAGAAACUCCGGCUGUACCUGCUCUUUCAUCUCCUUCGUGGAAAAAUGUCUAUCGGCUGGAAGCCCUAGGAGUCUUAAUUUUCAAGGAUUUUAGUUGUAAGAUGUUCAAGGCAUGAGACACACACCACCUAUUCAACCACAGGAAGUUUGGCCAGGCAUUGCGCUAGAUGCCAGCGGAGGAUAAGAACAUGAACUGGAAGCCAAAGAUGUAUUCCAGUUUCCUGGGAUAGGCAGUGACCGAAGAGGCAGGCAACCCCAUGGAGCUGAUAUUCUGCAAGAUGGCGGGUGGUAGCGGUGGUUGUAUUUGAAAUUUUAUUUGCUUCAAACACUUGUUGUCAUUGAACUAUUGGUGUUUGCUGCAAGUUGAGAAAGCUUGCCUUUUCAGUUUGUGCUUAGUGGAAAAUUUUAGACAGGUGUCAGGAAAGAUAUUCAGAUAAAGUUCAAGGAUGAGUAUGUAAAACUUGAAACAAAAGUUAUAGAAUUCUUGCGCAUUUCCUAAGGAAAAAAUAUGAAAUUCCAUAUAGAUUGUGCACUAUCUGGCAAGAAGUUGAGGAGAAAGGCGGAUAAUAGUGGUUCAGAGACCUUUGCUUCUACCAAAGGUAAAGGAUAAAAAUGAAAGCAACAGGUAAGGAGUGGCCUACAUCCUUUGUAUGGAAGGAUGUAGAGCAGAAGGAAUAUGAAAUGUGUGGGAUUAGUUCAAGAAGAAGGUUAGGUUGGGAAGAAAAAUGCUCCUAAUGGCUACUUUAUGACAAAUCGUGAGAAUUAGUCUCUUGAUACUUUGCAAAUAACUUUCAAGUUCUCUGUCUUACACAACCCUUGAAUUUACCCAGGAAGAGAACCAACUGUGGAAGAAGAGACGGCUAGCUAUAGCUUCUACAUAAUUUACAGAUUCAGGACCAGUCCACAAACACACCUUGAAUAGAUUAAUCCCACUUACUAGAAAAUGGAUAAAUAUUUGCUCAUUUGAGGUUAUGUAAUCACU